RNAcentral lists this ribosomal RNA (530 nucleotides) under uncultured bacterium. RNAcentral's name for it is "partial 16S ribosomal RNA". It matches the Rfam family "Bacterial small subunit ribosomal RNA", at positions 355 to 874 of the family's 1533-position model. The record is from RNAcentral.
UGGGGAAUUUUGGACAAUGGGCGAAAGCCUGAUCCAGCAAUGCCGCGUGUGUGAAGAAGGCCUUCGGGUUGUAAAGCACUUUUGUCCGGAAAGAAAUCCUUGGCUCUAAUACAGUCGGGGGAUGACGGUACCGGAAGAAUAAGCACCGGCUAACUACGUGCCAGCAGCCGCGGUAAUACGUAGGGUGCAAGCGUUAAUCGGAAUUACUGGGCGUAAAGCGUGCGCAGGCGGUUUGCUAAGACCGACGUGAAAUCCCCGGGCUCAACCUGGGAACUGCAUUGGUGACUGGCAGGCUAGAGUAUGGCAGAGGGGGGUAGAAUUCCACGUGUAGCAGUGAAAUGCGUAGAGAUGUGGAGGAAUACCGAUGGCGAAGGCAGCCCCCUGGGCCAAUACUGACGCUCAUGCACGAAAAGCGUGGGGAGCAAAACAGGAUUAGAUACCCCUGGUAGUCCACGCCCUAAACGAUGUCAACUAGUCGUUGGGGAUUCAUUUUCCUUAGUAACGUAGCUAACGCGUGAAGUUGACCGCCU